AUAAUGAGUUUCCGGUGGAAGAGAAGAAGUGUGGUAUGGAGAGGAAGGGUUACAAAUCAUUCCCCAGCUGAAAAAAGCUCUUGGAACAAAGCUCAAAAGCUAUAUUCAGUGAAGAAGUGUAGAAGUUUCUUAGUGGAGAAAUGA
Molecule: long non-coding RNA, 144 nt
Filed under: Macaca mulatta (Rhesus monkey)
Lineage: Eukaryota; Metazoa; Chordata; Mammalia; Primates; Cercopithecidae
Description: lncRNA (ENSMMUG00000056647.1)
Source: RNAcentral